This 460-nucleotide ribosomal RNA is filed under the name uncultured bacterium. Its description in RNAcentral is "partial 16S ribosomal RNA". It matches the Rfam family "Bacterial small subunit ribosomal RNA", at positions 338 to 795 of the family's 1533-position model. The record is from RNAcentral.
CCUACGGGAGGCAGCAGUGAGGAAUAUUGGUCAAUGGGCGUAAGCCUGAACCAGCCAAGUCGCGUGAGGGAUGAAGGUUCUAUGGAUCGUAAACCUCUUUUAUCAGGGAAUAAAGUGCGGGACGUGUCCCGGGUUGUAUGUACCUGAUGAAUAAGGAUCGGCUAACUCCGUGCCAGCAGCCGCGGUAAUACGGAGGAUCCGAGCGUUAUCCGGAUUUAUUGGGUUUAAAGGGUGCGUAGGCGGCCUUUUAAGUCAGCGGUUAAAGUCCGUGGCUCAACCAUGGAACUGCCGUUGAAACUGGGAGGCUCGAGUUGGUGUGAGGCAGGCGGAAUGCGUGGUGUAGCGGUGAAAUGCUUAGAUAUCACGCAGAACCCCGAUUGCGAAGGCAGCCUGCCAGGCCAUCACUGACGCUGAUGCACGAAAGCGUGGGGAUCAAACAGGAUUAGAUACCCGGGUAGUC